This 1894-nucleotide ribosomal RNA is filed under the name Euplotes balteatus. RNAcentral describes it as "partial large subunit ribosomal RNA". It matches the Rfam family "Eukaryotic large subunit ribosomal RNA", at positions 23 to 1874 of the family's 3401-position model. Lineage: Eukaryota; Ciliophora; Spirotrichea; Euplotida; Euplotidae. The record is from RNAcentral.
ACGCGCUGAACUUAAGCAUAUCACUAAGCGCAGGUAAAAGAAAAUAACAAUGAUUGCCUCAGUAACGGCGAGUGAAGCGGCAAGAGCCCAAGAUGAGAACCGCGGGCUUUGCGGCCCUGCGGAUUGUAAUCUACAGAGCGGGCGCUGACCCGGCUCCUGACGCCCAAGUGUCUUGGAAUAGACCGCCAGGGAGGGUGAAAGCCCCGUACGGCGUCGGGUAAAAGCUAGGCGGCCGCUNGAAGAGUCGAGUUGUUCGGGACUGCAGCUCUAAGUGGGAGGUAGACUUCUCCUAAGGCUCAAUAACUAUGAGAGACCGAUAGCGAACAAGUAAUGUGAAUGAAAGAUGAAAAAUAUUCUAUACGUAAGAACUUUGAAUGAAUAAAAGAGAAUUAAAGAGACCUGAAACCGUUGAGGUGGAAGCGAUAGGAAGUUUAGUUUGGUGUGGAGCUGGCAAAACGGCGUCGAGUCUGUCAGGCGGCGGUCACCGUAAGGGGCCGUGUUUGGCUGGCGUAGUCGUGAGUUUGCUCCGCGCCGAGGCGUAAGUCCGGCUUCUGCCGCGUCAUACCCCCUGUAGAGUCUGAGCUUCGGCAUCGCUCUGUGGGCCGGCGGCGUGGCGGAGGCCGUGUACUUCGUAUGACUUUUCCUACCGACCCGUCUUGAAACACGGACCAAGGAGUCUAACAGACAUGCGAUUAUGUUGGUGCUUUGUAAACCAAACAUGAGCAAUGAAAGUGAGCGGUGCCAAUCGCAAGAUGCAGCAUCGGCCAGUUGCGGUCCCUCUGGGCAAGCGCACUGGCACGAGCAUAUCUGUUAGGACCCGAAAGAUGGUGAACUACGCUUGAGUAGGGUGAAGCCAGGGGAAACUCUUGUGGAAGCCCGAAGCGGUACUGACGUGCAAAUCGUUCGUCAAACUUGAGUGUAGGGGCGAAAGACUAAUCGAACCAUCUAGUAGCUGGUUCCCUCCGAAGUUUCUCUCAGGAUAGCAAGGACAGUAGCAGUUUUAUUAGGUAAAGAAUAAAUGAUUAGAAGCUUCUGGGAGUUUUAUUAGUGCUCUCGACUUAGUUCUCAAACUCUAAAUAUUGUAAUAACUCGGUAUUCCUUAACUGAAGACCGAGGUAGAAUGCUUGUCCUUAGUGGGCCAUUUUUGGUAAGCAGAACUGGCGAUGAGGGAUGAACCUAACUCCGGGUUAAGGUGCCCAACUGCACGCGCAUCAGAUACCUUAAAGGGUGUGUUGAUUCAUUUAGACAGCAGGACGGUGGCCAUGGAAGUUGGAACCCGCUAAGGAGUGUGUAACAACUCACCUGCCGAAUGAAUUAGCCCCGAAAAUUUUGAUGGCUCUCCAGCGUGCGACCGAUACCCGGACAUUGCAGCGAAAGUUUGACUGCAAUGAGUAGGAGAGGGCGUAGGCGUCUUGUUGAAGCUUUGAGCGUGAGCCUGAGUCGAAAGGCGUCUAGUGCAGAUCUUGGUGGUAGUAGCAAUUAUUCAAAUGAGAACUUUGAAGGCCGAAGUGGAGAAGGUUUCCAUGAGAACAGCAAUUGGUCAUGGGUGACUCGGUCCUAAGAUAUUGGUUAACGACCUUGCAAAUGGGCUUCGGCCCGCAAUCGAAGAAGGGAAAAUGGGGUUAAUAUUCCUCAAGCUGGCUACGGAUGUCACGGCAACGUUUGUGAGCUCGGUGACGCCGGCGCGUGCCUCUGGAAGAGUUAUCUUUUCUUUGUUAACAGCCCAGCGACCCUGAAAUCGGAUUACCCGGAGAUGAGGGUUGCAAUGCUGGAAUAGUGUGUAUGUUUUCUCUACACAAGUUUAGAAGCGCUCGCGACGGCCCUUGAAAACCCGAGUGAGGUAAUUUAUUCCGUACCAGGCCGUACCAAUAACCGCAUCAGGUCUCCCAAGGUU